This 732-nucleotide ribosomal RNA is filed under the name Rossellomorea vietnamensis. RNAcentral's name for it is "bacterial SSU rRNA". It matches the Rfam family "Bacterial small subunit ribosomal RNA", at positions 40 to 754 of the family's 1533-position model. Lineage: Bacteria; Bacillati; Bacillota; Bacilli; Caryophanales; Bacillaceae. The record is from RNAcentral.
CGGCGUGCCUAUACAUGCAAGUCGAGCGGAUCGAUGGGAGCUUGCUCCCUGAGAUCAGCGGCGGACGGGUGAGUAACACGUGGGUAACCUGCCUGUAAGACUGGGAUAACUCCGGGAAACCGGGGCUAAUACCGGAUAACUCAGUUCCUCGCAUGAGGAACUGUUGAAAGGUGGCUUUUCCCUACCACUUACAAAUGGACCCGCGGCGCAUUACCUAGUUGGUGAGGUAACGGCUCACCAAGGCAACAAUGCGUACCCAACCUGAAAGGGUGAUCGGCCACACUGGGACUGAAACACGGCCCAAACUCCUACGGGAGGCAGCAUUAGGGAAUCUUCCGCAAUGGACAAAAGUCUGACGGACCAACGCCCCGGGAGUGAAAAAGGUUUUCGGAUCGUAAAACUCUGUUGUUAGGGAAAAACAAUUGCCGUUCGAAUAGGGCGGCCCCUUGACGGUACCUAACCAAAAAGCCACGGCUAAUUACUUGCCACCAGCCGCGGUAAUACGUAGGUGGCAAGCGUUGUCCGGAAUUAUGGGGCGUAAAGCGCGCGCAGGUGGUUUCUUAAGUCUGAUGUGAAAGCCCACGGCUCACCCGUGAAGGGUCAUUGGAAACUGGGGAACUUGAGUGCAGAAAAGGAAAGUGGAAUUCCAAGUGUAGCGGUGAAAUGCGUAGAUUUUUGGAGGACCACCAGUGGCGAAGGCGACUUUCUGGUCUGUAACUGACACUGAGGCGC